This 488-nucleotide ribosomal RNA is filed under the name uncultured bacterium. RNAcentral's name for it is "bacterial SSU rRNA". It matches the Rfam family "Bacterial small subunit ribosomal RNA", at positions 396 to 884 of the family's 1533-position model. The record is from RNAcentral.
GUAGCGUGAAGGAUGACUGCCCUAUGGGUUGUAAACUUCUUUUAUAAAGGAAUAAAGUCGGGUAUGCAUACCCGUUUGCAUGUACUUUAUGAAUAAGGAUCGGCUAACUCCGUGCCAGCAGCCGCGGUAAUACGGAGGAUCCGAGCGUUAUCCGGAUUUAUUGGGUUUAAAGGGAGCGUAGAUGGAUGUUUAAGUCAGUUGUGAAAGUUUGCGGCUCAACCGUAAAAUUGCAGUUGAUACUGGGUGUCUUGAGUACAGUAGAGGCAGGCGGAAUUCGUGGUGUAGCGGUGAAAUGCUUAGAUAUCACGAAGAACUCCGAUUGCGAAGGCAGCUUGCUGGACUGUAACUGACGCUGAUGCUCGAAAGUGUGGGUAUCAAACAGGAUUAGAUACCCUGGUAGUCCACACAGUAAACGAUGAAUACUCGCUGUUUGCGAUAUACAGUAAGCGGCCAAGCGAAAGCGUUAAGUAUUCCACCUGGGGAGUACG